UCGGCCCUCAUCCUACCAAGUAUACGGUGGUGGCGAUGGCGGUCGAAACCUCGAAAUCAUAGAUGGCAACGUGUUGAAAUACGUGCAUAAGCCUUGCUACGCUUCAACUUACCCUCCUUCCUUUGAUCAUCAUCAUCAAAAACAGACUGUUCCUAAGAAGAAAAAGAAGUCAUCGUCUCUUUCAAUCAAGUCAUGGUGGAAUGAUCCAAAGAUGAAAAGGAAGAUGAGACUUACGGGCUAUAAAAUGUACGCCAUUGAAGGGAAGAUCAAAACUUCUUUGAAGAAAGCACAUAAGUGGAUCAAGAAGAAGUAUCGUAGUAUCGUGCAUGGUUACUAAUAUAUGAGAGUGGGAGAUAUAUAUGUUUGAUCAUAA
This 373-nucleotide long non-coding RNA is filed under the name Gossypium barbadense (sea-island cotton). RNAcentral describes it as "long non-coding RNA (GBAR_LNC010861)". The record is from RNAcentral. Lineage: Eukaryota; Viridiplantae; Streptophyta; Magnoliopsida; Malvales; Malvaceae.